AUGCCUGAGAGCGUGGUGCCCGGCGGGGAGGACCGCAUCGGCGCCCUCCCGGACGAUCUCCUCCGCCGCGUGCUGUCGUUCCUUACCUCGCGCGAGUCCGUCUGCACAUGCGUGCUCGCUCGCCGCUGGCGCCACCUCUGGAAGUCCGUGCCCGUGGUGCGCGUCAUGGCGCCGGUGCCCAUCGAUAGAGAAGGGGAGGAAGAGCUCUGGUUUGUUAAUUCGCUGCUUUUCCUCCGCGACCGGGCGCCGCUGCAUGAGGUCGAUAUCAGAACCUACCUCGACGACCCAUCCGCACCCCUCAACGUUGAGCUGUGGCUCCGAUAUGCGGCAUCCUGCCAUGUUCGGGUGCUUCGAGUUUGGGUGCUUCGAGUUUACAGUCGGCGUCUGCAGCUACCCAACGUGACUCUCAUCUGCCAGCACCUGACAGUAUUAGAUUUCGCUGGUAUGAAAUUUGAGGAACCCACUCUGAAUUUUUCAAGCUGCCCAAUGCUAGAGGUAUUAAAGAUGUAUGAUUGUAAAAUCAGCGCCGAGAAGAUCUUGUGCAAAUCGUUAAGGCAUCUAACUAUGGAGAUAUGCCGUUUUGACCUGUAUGGCCGCACUCGUAUCUCUUGCCCAAGUCUCACUGCCUUGAAACUAGUUGACAAUUUGGGUUGGACUCCUUCCCUUGAGAGCAUGCCGUUAUUGGUAACGGCACUUGUCAGGUUUGAUGAAGAAUGGUAUGAACGUCAAGCGUGUUAUGAUCAUUGUCUUAAUGGUGGUUACUAUGGGGACUGUGAUGAUGAGUUAUGUCCUUCUUGCCUCUGUCAUGGCGAUGACUGUGUGCUUCUAAAAGGUCUAUGUGACGCUACAAAUUUGAAGUUGACAAGUGCUCCUCAAGCGAUUAUUUGCACCAGGGAUUUUAAAUGGUGCCAUACAUUUAGCAAGUUAAAAACAUUGUUUCUCAAUGAGUGGUGUCUGGCUGCUGCCUUCGGUGGACUGGUUUACUUUCUUCAGCACUCACCAAUUCUAGAGAGGCUUACCCUUCAACUUAGAUUUGAUGAGCAACAAUCUAUGGAUGGAAAAGAUGAAAGCUACAAGCCAAGAGAACAAUUUUUGGUAUCGAAGAAUCUUAAAGUAGUCGAAAUCAAGUGUCGCAAGGAAGAUGAAAGGAUUCACCAAAUUGUAAAGAUCCUUGUUAGCCUUGGAGUACCUCCUGAUCUUAUUGACAACCAACAGAACAGUGUGCAGUCUGAUUGCUCCAGUUUCGAGCAGGAGUAG
Molecule: ribosomal RNA, 1257 nt
Filed under: Triticum aestivum (bread wheat)
Lineage: Eukaryota; Viridiplantae; Streptophyta; Magnoliopsida; Poales; Poaceae
Description: partial small subunit ribosomal RNA
Source: RNAcentral